This 406-nucleotide ribosomal RNA is filed under the name uncultured bacterium. Its description in RNAcentral is "partial 16S ribosomal RNA". It matches the Rfam family "Bacterial small subunit ribosomal RNA", at positions 30 to 526 of the family's 1533-position model. The record is from RNAcentral.
AUUGAACGCUGGCGGCAGGCCUAACACAUGCAAGUCGAACGAGUGGCGGACGGGUGAGUAAUGUCUGGGAAACUGCCCGAUGGAGGGGGAUAACUACUGGAAACGGUAGCUAAUACCGCAUACCCUCAGAUGUGCCCAGAUGGGAUUAGCUAGUAGGGUGGGUAACGGCUCACCUAGGCGACGAUCCCUAGCUGGUCUGAGAGGAUGACCAGCCACCUUGUAACUGAGACACUGUCCAGACUCCGACGGGAGGCAGCAGUGGGGAAUGUUGCACAAUGGGCGCAAGCCUGAUGCAGCCAUGCCGCGUGUAUGAAGAAGGCCUUCGGGUUGUAAAGUCCUUUCAGCGGGGAGGCGUUACCCGCAGAAGAAGCACCGGCUAACUCCGUGCCAGCCGCCGCGGUAAUAC